This 460-nucleotide ribosomal RNA is filed under the name uncultured bacterium. RNAcentral describes it as "partial 16S ribosomal RNA". It matches the Rfam family "Bacterial small subunit ribosomal RNA", at positions 338 to 795 of the family's 1533-position model. The record is from RNAcentral.
CCUACGGGUGGCUGCAGUGAGGAAUAUUGGUCAAUGGACGAGAGUCUGAACCAGCCAAGUAGCGUGAAGGAUGACUGCCCUAUGGGUUGUAAACUUCUUUUAUAUGGGAAUAAAAUGUUCCACGUGUGGGAUUUUGUAUGUACCAUAUGAAUAAGGAUCGGCUAACUCCGUGCCAGCAGCCGCGGUAAUACGGAGGAUCCGAGCGUUAUCCGGAUUUAUUGGGUUUAAAGGGAGCGUAGGUGGAUUGUUAAGUCAGUUGUGAAAGUUUGCGGCUAAACCGUAAAAUUGCAGUUGAAACUGGCAGUCUUGAGUACAGUAGAGGUGGGCGGAAGUCGUGGUGUAGCGGUGAAAUGCUGAGAUAUCACGAAGAACUCCGAUUGCGAAGGCAGUUCACUGGACUGCAACUGACACUGAGGCUCGAAAGUGUGGGUAUCAAACAGGAUUAGAUACCCUUGUAGUC